This is a long non-coding RNA of Emys orbicularis (European pond turtle), 316 nucleotides long. RefSeq lists it as uncharacterized. NCBI's taxonomy places the organism in Eukaryota, Metazoa, Chordata, Testudines, Emydidae. The record is from RefSeq and is a predicted model, not a curated record. The transcript is spliced from 3 exons.
CAGGUUUGAUCACAGGACUCUUCAUAUUAAUAUCAUGGUCUCUUGCAAUGACUAUUGCAGUAAUAAUCCUAGCUUCUAGGAAUCCUAAGUGUAAAGAUCCAUGUCCUGAUAACUGGCUGCUCUACAAAGGAAAAUGUUACUACAUUUCUGAUGAAGUGAAGUAUUGGGAGACUAGUGAGGAAUUCUGUUCUCAACAAGAUGCUUUACUUGCUGUAAUUGAAAACAAAGAGGAAUUGAAUUUUAUAGAAAAGCUUGCUUGCAGGAAGGAUGCAUGGAUUGGACUCCACAAGACAAAGGGAAAACUCUUUUAGGUAAA